CCCACAAUUCUUAUAUUUGCCUCUUAUUUGUAAAGGAAUCUAUUCGGAACAUGCGAACACGUCCAAAGUACAAAGAGAACAAAUUACAGCAGCUGAAUUUUUUUCUUCUUCUUCUGAGUGGGGUGGGGUUUGCCUUUGGCGCGUGGGUAGGGCUGCACUCAGUCAGAUCACGCGUGAGCUAGACUCCCCUGACCAUUCAAGUCGCAGGUCAAAUGGUCGGCCGUGAACGGUGAGCACACGAGCACCAUCUUUUCCUUACAAAACAAGCAACACUUUCCAAAACACUAAAUCCCACCACUUCUAAUGUGUUACUAAUAGUUUCAUCGUGAUAUCGACCGAGAGAAGCAUGUCAUGCUGAUGAAAUAUUAAGCAGUUGUCUCUUAUGUCUGUCCUCCUUUUAGGUUUCACUACUAUUGCUCAAUUGUGCGGCAUUUCCA
RNAcentral lists this long non-coding RNA (437 nucleotides) under Elaeis guineensis (African oil palm). Its description in RNAcentral is "long non-coding RNA (EGUI_LNC013520)". The record is from RNAcentral. Lineage: Eukaryota; Viridiplantae; Streptophyta; Magnoliopsida; Arecales; Arecaceae.